RNAcentral lists this ribosomal RNA (300 nucleotides) under uncultured Xenococcaceae cyanobacterium. RNAcentral describes it as "bacterial SSU rRNA". It matches the Rfam family "Bacterial small subunit ribosomal RNA", at positions 115 to 433 of the family's 1533-position model. Lineage: Bacteria; Bacillati; Cyanobacteriota; Cyanophyceae; Pleurocapsales; Xenococcaceae. The record is from RNAcentral.
GCGUGAGAAUCUAACGAUUGGUUCGGGACAACCACUGGAAACGGUGGCUAAUACCGGAUAAGCCUAAUGGUGAAAGAUUAAUUGCCAAUUGAAGAGCUCGCGUCUGAUUAGCUAGUUGGUGGGGUAAGAGCUUACCAAGGCAUCGAUCAGUAGCUGGUCUGAGAGGACGAGCAGUCACACUGGGACUGAGACACGGCCCAGACUCCUACGGGAGGCAGCAGUGGGGAAUAUUCCGCAAUGGGCGAAAGCCUGACGGAGCAAUACCGCGUGAGGGAGGAAGGCUCUUGGGUUGUAAACCUC